This 341-nucleotide ribosomal RNA is filed under the name uncultured bacterium. RNAcentral's name for it is "bacterial SSU rRNA". It matches the Rfam family "Bacterial small subunit ribosomal RNA", at positions 168 to 507 of the family's 1533-position model. The record is from RNAcentral.
ACAGAAUUAAUGCAGCGGCUCCGCAUGGAGACAGUUGUUAAAGUACAAGCGCCUGAAGAUGAGCCUGCGGUCCAUUAGCUAGUUGGUAGAGUAACAGCCUACCAAGGCAACGAUGGAUAGCUGGUCUGAGAGGAUGAUCAGCCACACUGGAACUGAGACACGGUCCAGACUCCUACGGGAGGCAGCAGUAAGGAAUAUUGCUCAAUGGCCGAAAGGCUGAAGCAGCAACGCCGCGUGAAGGAUGAAUGGCCUUUGGCCUGUAAACUUCUGUAAAAGGGAAAAACAGUCAGGUAUAUCCUGAUUUGAUUGUACCUUUGAAGUAAGCCCCGGCUAACUACGUG